GCCGAGGUAGCUCAGUGGUAGAGCACGCGACUGAAAAUCGCGGUGUCGGCAGUUCAAUCCUGCCCCUCGGCACCC
This 75-nucleotide transfer RNA is filed under the name Chloroflexota bacterium. RNAcentral's name for it is "Chloroflexi bacterium tRNA-Phe". It matches the Rfam family "tRNA". Rfam says of the family: Transfer RNA (tRNA) molecules are approximately 80 nucleotides in length. Their secondary structure includes four short double-helical elements and three loops (D, anti-codon, and T loops). The record is from RNAcentral. Lineage: Bacteria; Bacillati; Chloroflexota.